UAUUUAGUCAGUACGUACAUGGACAGUAAAUGACGAUAAGGUCAGCGAUGGUGGGUGCAGAGAGAUCUUCUUCUUCUAUCUUAAUGUCACAGAAGUGGACGUUAACGAAUGUGAGAUUCGGGAACGUCCAACGCGUAAGUCAUCUGGCAUGCCAAGUGAGGGAGCGGAAGGGAGCCUAAAAGGAAGGCAAAGCCGCAAACACUUGCUGCAUGAUGAAGAAUAUGAUCGCGAUUUACGGCUUGAGAGAGAUUCAUGUUCGCGAACACGAAAUUUGGGC
Molecule: long non-coding RNA, 277 nt
Organism: Cydia amplana
Lineage: Eukaryota; Metazoa; Arthropoda; Insecta; Lepidoptera; Tortricidae
Exons: 3
Source: RefSeq, a predicted model, not a curated record